RNAcentral lists this ribosomal RNA (365 nucleotides) under uncultured prokaryote. RNAcentral describes it as "partial 16S ribosomal RNA". The record is from RNAcentral.
CCCUACGGGGUGCAGCAGGCGGGAGCGUUUUUCGGCGAGGGCUUUGUCCCAAGCGGCGUUGGGAGUCAGGCCGGUGGUGCGGCAGACGUGGUGCUGGUUGUGCCAGUCCAGUUGGAGUUGGAGGAGUUGAUUGGCCGCUUGGAAAUCGGGGAUGCGUUCGUCGGCCAGGCGGGUGACGAGCCGUUUCUGAAAGGUGUCGAAGCGGCGUUCGAUUUUACCUUUGGCAGGCGCGUCGGGGGCGACGCGGGGGGCGACGCCCAAGGCGGUGAAGGCGCGUUGGAAUUGGGAAUGGGUGUCGAGGCGGUCGGCGGGGGAGCGAUGGCCGAAGAGCGAUAAGCCGUCGGUGGAGAGGGUGGCGGGGGAGC